AGAACGAACGCUGGCGGCAGGCCUAACACAUGCAAGUCGAACGGAUCCUUCGGGAUUAGUGGCGGACGGGUGAGUAACACGUGGGAACGUGCCCUUUGGUUCGGAACAACUCAGGGAAACUUGAGCUAAUACCGGAUAAGCCCUUCGAGGGAAAGAUUUAUCGCCAUUGGAGCGGCCCACGUAGGAUUAGCUAGUUGGUGAGGUAAAAGCUCACCAAGGCGACGAUCCUUAGCUGGUCUGAGAGGAUGAUCAGCCACAUUGGGACUGAGACACGGCCCAAACUCCUACGGGAGGCAGCAGUGGGGAAUCUUGCGCAAUGAGCGAAAGCCUGACGCAGCCAAUGCCGCGUGAAUGGAUGAAGGUCUUAGGAUUGUAAAAUUCUUUCACCGGGACAUAAUGACGGUACCCGAAAAGAACGCCCGGCUAACGUUCGUGCCAGCAGCCGC
This 446-nucleotide ribosomal RNA is filed under the name uncultured soil bacterium. Its description in RNAcentral is "bacterial SSU rRNA". It matches the Rfam family "Bacterial small subunit ribosomal RNA", at positions 26 to 518 of the family's 1533-position model. The record is from RNAcentral.